This 497-nucleotide ribosomal RNA is filed under the name uncultured bacterium. RNAcentral describes it as "partial 16S ribosomal RNA". It matches the Rfam family "Bacterial small subunit ribosomal RNA", at positions 28 to 507 of the family's 1533-position model. The record is from RNAcentral.
GAUGAACGCUGGCGGCGUGCCUAAUACAUGCAAGUCGAGCGGACAGACGAGGAGCUUGCUCCUCUGACGUUAGCGGCGGACGGGUGAGUAACGCGUGGAUAACCUACCUAUAAGACUGGUAUAACUUCGGGAAACCGGAGCUAAUACCGGAUAAUAUCUUGAACCGCAUGGUGCAAUAGAGAAAGACGGUUUUGCUGUCUGUUAUCGCUGGAUCCGGGCCGUAUUAGCUAGUUGGUAAGGUAACGGGUUUUCAAGGCAACGAGGCGUAGCCGACCUGAGAGAGGGAUCGGCGACCUGGGAAGGUGGCCAGGGACCUGAGUCCUACGGGAGGGCGCAGACGCGUACGGGACGCAGUGGGGGGAAGCAUUGCGGAGUAAGGCCGCGUGAGAGAUGAAGGUGUUCGGAGCGUAAUACCCGGUUAUUAGGGAAGAACAGAUGUGGAAGGAAACAAGCACGUCGUGACGGUACCUAGUAAGAAAGCAACGGCUAACUACGUG